Molecule: ribosomal RNA, 508 nt
Filed under: uncultured bacterium
Lineage: Bacteria
Description: partial 16S ribosomal RNA
Rfam family: Bacterial small subunit ribosomal RNA
Source: RNAcentral
GACGAACGCUGGCGGCGCGCUUAACACAUGCAAGUCGAGCGAGAACCAGGGCUUCGGCCCUGGGGACAGCGGCGAACGGGUGAGUAACACGUGGGUCAUCUGCCCUCGGCACCGGAAUAGCCCGGGGAAACCCGGAUUAAUGCCGGAUGGCCCGCCCGCUCUUCGGGGCGGUCGGAAAAGGUAGCUUCGGCCUCCGGCCGAGGAUGAGCCCGCGGCGGAUUAGCUAGUCGGUGGGGUAAUGGCCCACCGAGGCGACGAUCCGUAGCUGGUCUGAGAGGACGAUCAGCCACACUGGGACUGAGACACGGCCCAGACUCCUACGGGAGGCAGCAGUGGGGAAUCUUGCGCAAUGGGCGAAAGCCUGACGCAGCGACGCCGCGUGAGGGAAGAAGGCUUUCGGGUUGUAAACCUCUUUCAGGAGGGACGAAGCUACUCGGGUGAAUAGCCCAGAGGGUGACGGUACCUCCAGAAGAAGCCCCGGCUAACUACGUGCCAGCCGCCGCAGUAA